AGUUUCUCCAAGCAGUCAGUGUCUGAAAGUGGCAUUGAGGCGACACCGGCCGGUGACCAGGUCGCCGUGGCUUCGGCCCCCUAUAUUAACCCUACCUGAUUCCGCCUCGUAGGAAACUGCUGGGCAACAAAACG
Molecule: unclassified non-coding RNA, 134 nt
Filed under: fungal sp.
Lineage: Eukaryota; Fungi
Description: partial internal transcribed spacer region
Source: RNAcentral